GUCCCUCCUGCUCAGGGCAGCAUGGUGAUGCACAUGCGGCCCCCCACCACAGGCCCCUUCCCCAACCCUAUUCAGAGACCUGUUAUGCAGGUCAAUAAGCCCGUCAUCAUCCGUUCCCCCCCUUACCCCAAUCCUGGCCGUGACCCUCCCCACUCCACCCCUCCUUCAGCUUCCGAGCCCCCAGUUAAAGGGCAAGAGGAUGGCAUGAAGGUGAGCCACCCACUGUAAAUAUAGAAUAAAACAAUAAGAGAUGUACGCAAGGCGGUGGGAGAGGGCAAAACACCGUCCGGGGGCAUGACCAGCAAACUCCAGGAGCCCCUACCUUCCACAGGCCAAGCCAAACCAGCACGCACUGGAGCCAUCAAACCCCAGGCUGUCAAAGUAGAAGAGGGCAAGGCGUAAUAAUGGACCUUAAAAUCCUCAUCACCACCAAGCCUGCCAACACAAAGCUCAUUGACCACUGUCAGCCUUUUUAAAACCCACCUUACCCCCAAGGCUCCAAGGCCCGGGGCCUGCAGGCAGACAACAUAAUGAAAUGCCCCCUCUUGAACUUUCAGAACUGGACACUGUUAUUUCACAUCACGUAUAGAGAUAUAUAAAUAUAUAUAAAUAUAUGCAUAAACACAGUCUUUUAAACAGAUCUCUUCAAGGUCCUCUUUAAUUUAUUAUUAGUCACUUUUAAGGGGAUAUUGGUAAGGAGAAAAGACAUUUUGUUUUUGUGUGUGCGUUUUCUCUGAAGUGGGGGAAGAGGAAAAUGGCCAGCUCACACGGUUCAUUUUCCAUACUGUUUUGCCAAACUGUAAUUACUCCCUGUUUAUGGACUGCAUCCCUUAAAGACCCGACAGAAACUUCAUACAACUGAGAAACAAAGUCUGUUAACUUUUUUUUUUUAUUAAGCAAAUUUGAAAUGCAGUGUGGGGCACUUUUUGUUUUUCUUUGGUAUUUUUUCUGGUAAAUAAAGUCACGACCCAGACAUCCAUACUAAUGCUAAAAGACUUGUUUCAUUAACCCAGGAAAAAAAUAAAACACAAUUGUUGGGCAUCAUGCAUGUCAAACAUAGCAGAAGUCAAGUGGAUCACCUCAGAAAUUCAUCUUUUUUGGGCUACUUAACCCAACACAUGAACUGCGUAAAAACUGCUUAGAUUCUUAGAAACCUUUUUUUUUCUCUUUAAACCGUUCUUUGCUUUUAGAUUCUGUGGCUCACUCUGUAUGUAAAUUGAAAGGAGAAAAAAAAGAGAUGGAGGUUUUACCAAAAUUAUGUUGCUUCCAUGGAAAGUUCACUGGCAUCGGCGGCGUGUGCAUGUGAUGUGUUGAAUGUGUGUAAACUUGCAGGACAUCUACGUAGAAGCUAGCAACAUUUCACAAAGACUGUGUGCGUGCGGGGGUGUGUGUGUGGAUUUGGAUUGACCACGCUGAAAACAUUUGUGGGUUCAUUGUGAAGUUUUGGAGGGCUGAGAGGUGGGCAUUCACAGUUGCUGUAAAAGGACCCUCAGCUGAUUGAAAUGUUUGCUUUCUUAUCGCUUUGCUUUGGGCUGUAAUGAAAUCAAACUGUGUUAAUGAACAUGUGAUGUAAGCGAUUUUUCUUUUUUCCUUCUUUAACAUCCAUUAGUGUUUGUUUUCUUUUUCUUUAGGGCUCCUGAAAGACUUUUAUAUUGUUCAGAUCCCAUUUCAGAAUCACCGAGGGGAGUUAUUGAAAAAAAAAAAAAAAUCUCAUCACUAUUUGAUAAUUCAAAAUCUGGUUUCUGAGGUGGCACUAGCAAUAAAUGCAGCCUAACUAUAAUCACAAUCAGGGUCCAAUUAAUUUGUUUUCCUCCGUUAGAAGCUAAUGAUCACAUAACGAGGGGUGUUUGCUUGUUAAACUGAAAUCCACCUUUUUUUUUUUUUCUUUCUUUUUUUGUGCGAGCACAGCAGUUCCAGCAGACUACGAAGGACUUUAAAACAAACAAACAAAAAAACAAAAAAAAUGUUCUGUUUGAAAAUGUGAAGCUGAUGGAAUCAUUUAUUUUUGUUCAUCUUCUGUUUUUAUAACGGGCGCUCAAUUCGAAACUCACGACGCCCCUGCCAUAACUGUUACUGCUUACUAUAAUGCUCCAUGACACUACAAAUGUUUAUCUUUACAACAGUGUUUCACUGCUAUAUGUGUAUACGCAUACUUAACUGUACAGUUGAGCCUUGUGAGCAAAGGGAGGCUUAAACUUGCAUUUCAUUUUAGAUAUUGUGGCACUAUAAAGGAUUCGAUGUUUUAAAAAAAAAAAAAAAAAAAAAAAAGGUCACUGUGUUCUCAGAACGGACUGCUUUCACCUGUUAGGUUUAUCGGGCUUGGAGUGUGGGGUUUUUUUGUUGUUGGUUUUUUUGGCCUCUUACCCCUUUCUUGAAAGGAUCUUGGCGCUUCUCAUCAUUGUACCUGCACCGCAAUGUUGCCCAUUUUGAGGUUGUUUGUUUUUUUUUCGGUUUUUUUUUUUACUUUUAAGAUGCAUAUUUCAGUUUUUGUCAGAGGACCAGUGCUUUCUACAGCUGAUCCAGCAUUCUAUUUAUCCUCUCUGACCUUUAUCCUUUCAGGUAUUUGGUCAUUACUCUCCCUUGUUAAAGAAAAAGAGCUUAUUGAGAGAAAAUAAAUAAAGCAGUUGUGAUUUCUUAAA
Molecule: non-coding RNA, 2639 nt
Organism: Neolamprologus brichardi
Lineage: Eukaryota; Metazoa; Chordata; Actinopteri; Cichliformes; Cichlidae
Source: RefSeq, a predicted model, not a curated record